GUGGGGAAUAUUGGGCAAUGGGCGAAAGCCUGACCCAGCAACGCCGCGUGAAGGAAGAAGGCCUUCGGGUUGUAAACUUCUUUUAAGAGGGACGAAGAAGUGACGGUACCUCUUGAAUAAGCCACGGCUAACUACGUGCCAGCAGCCGCGGUAAUACGUAGGUGGCGAGCGUUAUCCGGAUUUACUGGGUGUAAAGGGCGCGUAGGCGGGAAUGCAAGUCAGAUGUGAAAUCCAAGGGCUCAACCCUUGAACUGCAUUUGAAACUGUAUUUCUUGAGUGUCGGAGAGGUUGACGGAAUUCCUAGUGUAGCGGUGAAAUGCGUAGAUAUUAGGAGGAACACCAGUGGCGAAGGCGGUCAACUGGACGAUAACUGACGCUGAGGCGCGAAAGCGUGGGGAGCAAACAGGAUUAGAAACCCCAGUAGUCC
Molecule: ribosomal RNA, 427 nt
Filed under: uncultured bacterium
Lineage: Bacteria
Description: bacterial SSU rRNA
Rfam family: Bacterial small subunit ribosomal RNA
Source: RNAcentral